This 106-nucleotide small RNA is filed under the name Salmonella enterica subsp. salamae. Its description in RNAcentral is "RtT sRNA". It matches the Rfam family "RtT RNA", at positions 18 to 118 of the family's 130-position model. From Rfam's summary of the family: This family represents a bacterial cis-regulatory element known as RtT RNA. The exact function of RtT is unknown although it is thought that it may be involved in changing the cellular response in relation to amino acid starvation. The record is from RNAcentral. Lineage: Bacteria; Pseudomonadati; Pseudomonadota; Gammaproteobacteria; Enterobacterales; Enterobacteriaceae.
CAGGAUGAGACGAGUAUACCUGCAGCAGGUUCGUGUCGAACGCAGUGAGACAACGGAGCCGCCUGCGGCGACGGCCCGAAGGGCGAGGCGAAGCCGAGUCAUCCUG